This 498-nucleotide ribosomal RNA is filed under the name Micrococcaceae bacterium NASA2-41. RNAcentral describes it as "bacterial SSU rRNA". It matches the Rfam family "Bacterial small subunit ribosomal RNA", at positions 989 to 1484 of the family's 1533-position model. Lineage: Bacteria; Bacillati; Actinomycetota; Actinomycetes; Micrococcales; Micrococcaceae. The record is from RNAcentral.
UUCUCGAUCGCCGUAGAGAUACGGUUUCCCCUUUGGGGCGGGUUCACAGGUGGUGCAUGGUUGUCGUCAGCUCGUGUCGUGAGAUGUUGGGUUAAGUCCCGCAACGAGCGCAACCCUCGUUCCAUGUUGCCAGCACGUAAUGGUGGGGACUCAUGGGAGACUGCCGGGGUCAACUCGGAGGAAGGUGAGGACGACGUCAAAUCAUCAUGCCCCUUAUGUCUUGGGCUUCACGCAUGCUACAAUGGCCGGUACAAUGGGUUGCGAUACUGUGAGGUGGAGCUAAUCCCAAAAAGCCGGUCUCAGUUCGGAUUGGGGUCUGCAACUCGACCCCAUGAAGUCGGAGUCGCUAGUAAUCGCAGAUCAGCAACGCUGCGGUGAAUACGUUCCCGGGCCUUGUACACACCGCCCGUCAAGUCACGAAAGUUGGUAACACCCGAAGCCGGUGGCCUAACCCUUGUGGGGGGAGCCGUCGAAGGUGGGACCAGCGAUUGGGACUCU